Molecule: ribosomal RNA, 420 nt
Filed under: uncultured Alphaproteobacteria bacterium
Lineage: Bacteria; Pseudomonadati; Pseudomonadota; Alphaproteobacteria
Description: bacterial SSU rRNA
Rfam family: Bacterial small subunit ribosomal RNA
Source: RNAcentral
AGAGUUUGAUCCUGGCUCAGAACGAACGCUGGCGGCAUGCCUAACACAUGCAAGUCGAACGAGACCUUCGGGUCUAGUGGCGCACGGGUGCGUAACGCGUGGGAAUCUGCCCUGGGGUACGGAAUAACUCAGAGAAAUUUGAGCUAAUACCGUAUGAUGACGUAAGUCCAAAGAUUUAUCGCCCUGGGAUGAGCCCGCGUAGGAUUAGCUAGUUGGUGAGGUAAAGGCUCACCAAGGCGACGAUCCUUAGCUGGUCUGAGAGGAUGAUCAGCCACACUGGGACUGAGACACGGCCCAGACUCCUACGGGAGGCAGCAGUGGGGAAUAUUGGACAAUGGGCGAAAGCCUGAUCCAGCAAUGCCGCGUGAGUGAUGAAGGCCUUAGGGUUGUAAAGCUCUUUUACCCGGGAAGAUAAUGACU